This 370-nucleotide unclassified non-coding RNA is filed under the name Chimantaea humilis. RNAcentral's name for it is "partial miscellaneous RNA". The record is from RNAcentral. Lineage: Eukaryota; Viridiplantae; Streptophyta; Magnoliopsida; Asterales; Asteraceae.
CAGCAACGUUCACCCGUGCAUACCUCUUCAUUUUUGCGGCAAGGCGUGUCUUGUCUUGAGCGCUCUUUGGGUUCCCUGUGUUGCAUACCUACUCGAUGGUAUUAUACGGAUGUAUCGAAGACCCUUUUCAUCAUGCGUCGCUCGUGUGGCGUGCGGUGAACCUGGAAGCGGUCUCUGUGAUCCACGUCGUCGGUGAUUCGGUAUCGUCGACAUGGCUCAUUGAGCGUUGCUUGCUCUCACGGAUACGGAACCUUAUGUGUGCAUGGGGUCUCAAACGAUCCCUUGUUUGCCCUUGUUAAGCGUUCUCGCUUCCUUAGAGCGACUGUCGGUCACGUGUUGGCAUGUUCAUACGGGACCGACAACGUCGAGG